RNAcentral lists this long non-coding RNA (1064 nucleotides) under Eucalyptus grandis. RNAcentral's name for it is "long non-coding RNA (EGRA_LNC006988)". Lineage: Eukaryota; Viridiplantae; Streptophyta; Magnoliopsida; Myrtales; Myrtaceae. The record is from RNAcentral.
AGAAAAAGCUAAACCACCUAAAGAAAGAGGGGCUUGCUGCGGCGUUGAUGGGUGCCGGACAGACGAUGACCGGCGUCGGGUACUGCAGGUCAGCGAUGGCAAGGUGGCGCGGGGAGGUGCAGGCAUGGGCAUCGGGUCGCAGGUUGCUGCACAGCGAUGCUCGCGGGUGCUGGUGCGCGAAGCAAGGGCGGAUGUCUAGGCAGAGACCGGCGGAGGGCGAUUUGCAGAGGUGGGUUGCGUACGGAUCGGGACCUGCUGUCUUCGGAGGGCCGCGACGUCGAGCACGGCGAGAACAGGGAGAUCGGCGAGCAGCAGGGGCUGGUUGGUUGCAGAGGCGCAGCGGCACUAGGCUCCGAGCGGAUGCGUAGGCGGAGGCCGAGGCGUCACGAGCCGUGGACGGCUCGAUCAGUGCGGGUUGCAGGCGAGGCACUACAGAGCUCAGGGCAACGGCGUUAGGCGUCGCGGCUGGCUUCGGGGCGGCGAGCGGCGCGGUGGACUUCGGCUAUGGAGAUGCCGUGGUGGAAGCGCAAACAGGGACCGACGGUGGGCGCAGCGGGCUACUGGUUGGCGCUUGGGCCGUCGUGAGUCGGCAGAGGCGAACGGCGGGGGUCGUCGGGGCUCGUGCGGAGAAAGAUCCAGGCGUCGGACGGGACUGGCUUCGAGCUCCAGGCGGCGUCGGCGUGCGCGGUGAGGCGGUUCGUCAGGGAGCGGAGCAGGGGCAAGGCUCGGCGCGGCACGGUGGGCUCGGGCGGAGGAGGACUCAAGCGUCGGGGACCUCGGCGGCGCGGCGUCGUCGCGGCGAGCUUCGUGGGGAGACCGCUGAAGCGGCUGUGGCGAACACACGGUGGCAGAAGCCUCGCGGAUGGAAGUUGCAGAGGAGGGGCAGCGAUUUGGGGAAGAUGAUGAACAGUAGGGGUCAAAUCACCUCUUUACUUUUCUCCUCCCUCUCUCUCUCACGUCACUCUCCCUCUUCCUUCGUACUCUUUCUCUCUUUUUUACUGAAACAAAACUUCUCUCCACUUUUUUCUGAAUUUUUUUUCAAAAGAAGCUCUUCCCAAAAAAAC